GGGGAUUUAGCUCAGCGGUAGAGCGCUUGCCUAGGAAGCGCAAGGCCCUGGGUUCAGUCCCCA
Molecule: non-coding RNA, 63 nt
Organism: Rattus norvegicus (Norway rat)
Lineage: Eukaryota; Metazoa; Chordata; Mammalia; Rodentia; Muridae
Source: Rfam